Molecule: ribosomal RNA, 292 nt
Filed under: uncultured bacterium
Lineage: Bacteria
Description: partial 16S ribosomal RNA
Rfam family: Bacterial small subunit ribosomal RNA
Source: RNAcentral
GUGCCAGCCGCCGCGGUAAUACGUAGGGUGCGAGCGUUAAUCGGAAUUACUGGGCGUAAAGCGUGCGCAGGCGGUUCGCUAAGACAGGUGUGAAAUCCCCGGGCUUAACCUGGGAAUGGCGCUUGUGACUGGCGGGCUGGAGUACGGCAGAGGGAGGUGGAAUUCCACGUGUAGCAGUGAAAUGCGUAGAGAUGUGGAGGAACACCGAUGGCGAAGGCAGCCUCCUGGGCCAGUACUGACGCUCAUGCACGAAAGCGUGGGGAGCAAACAGGAUUAGAAACCCCAGUAGUCC